GAUCUCUGCCUCUUUAGGCAUAAAACAUGGAUAAAAGCUGAAACUUGUGAAGCUAGACAGAUCUUAAAGGACAUUCAAUAGGACUUCUACAGUGUUCAUGACAGAAGCUGAAAAGUCAGUAGUGAAUGCAGGAAAGGCUUCCAAAGGAGAAAAGAACAGCCAUGGCUUCAGUACCCUCCGCCGGAUGCCUCCUGGCCAAGAACCAGUAUUACCGCACAAGGCAGAACUCGGAAUCCAGCGUUUCUUCCAGCUCCUCCUGCUGUUCCGAUCCUGUGAGCGGUGCAGAACAGGACAAAGCAUUUCAUGCAGGGUUGCCUGAAUUACUCGACAAACGCUGGUGGAUAAAAAGCUUUUUCCAUUGUGAACCAUCUCCACCAACUUUUGGCAGAAAAACACUGUCAGCAAGCAGUACCAACAGCUGAAUAUGAAAGCAAGCUGGACUACUGUCUGAGAUACUGCUCACGGACUUAUUUUUUCAAGAGGCUUGGGAUCUUCUGAGUGUCUGGGUUCAGUUGCAAGAAGAAAACAAAACCUUAAGGAGGGAAGAAAGGUGUACUUUCAAAAGAUGUCAGUAGCUUAAAAACUGCUGUAUAAGGGACAUGUCCAUGGUUUACUGUCUUCAUUAUGGAGUUGCUAUAAUUUUAGAUGACUCUAAUGAAAGUUACUUGGAUUAAAUAUCCUGAUGACUUAUUUGGAUACUUAAGAAAAAAAAGAAAAAAAAAGACAGUAAGAUAGUAUAGGUUUAAAAGUAUGUGUAUGGAAUGGCUUCGCUAUAGGUGAAUACUUACCUGAAGUUUUACCUGUUAAGAUAUCAGCUCUGUAGACCUUCACUGCUGUAAAUGCAUCACAAACAGAUCAGUCCUACACUACUGUACUGUGUACAUAUUCUACCAACUCUUCUGUGUCAGUUACAGGCAUCAGAAUUCACAAGGAUGCUUGCUAAUAGCUUUGCUUUCAGAAAGCCCAGUUACAUGGAGAAGGAAUAAUCUGUUUGCUGUUAUCCAGCUAGGUAUGUAGAUACCAACCACAAAUACAUAGAUACACUUUUCAUUCACAUCUGUGCGUGUUCAUACUUGAGGACAGAACAGCAGAGAGGUAAUCAUAAUGGACAUUGACAUCUUCCAAGCAGAUGAGUAAUCUCAAUCAGGGUUGAUAUUCACAAAUCUGUUUUACUUUCAAAUUACUCUCACCUUCUUUGCUGCAUUUGAAAGACCUGCUUGUUCUCAAGUGACUAAUCCUAUCAGCAUUAAUUGCUGUCCAUCAGUUUCAUUUGUAAGGUGUAAGAGCUGGCAAAGUAUUCAACUCAAAGUGAUAACACUAGUGCUAAUAACAAAGUCUGUCUUUGUCAGGAUACAUGCUAUUGAAAUACACUGUAGUAUGUUUUCAUUUGGUCUUCAGCAUUGCAAAGCAGUAGGUGAUUGUUUGUUCUACAAAAUGGACCAAAGGUCAUAGAAAAUAACAUAUUUGGCUGGAAUGACAUUGCUUCUGUGUGUUUAUCUAUGCAAUUUUAUUUUAAUCUACCAUCACUAAAUCUACCUGGCCUUUGCCCAACACUGGAUGAAGCAACAAUAGUAAACAUUAUCAAUGUAAGUGUAAAUUUUUUUUAAAUUAUAGAUUAGUGGUUGUCAUGGUAAUGCUUAGAACUCUGAAGUGGAAGUGUAUCAAGUGACUGCUUUGGUUUUGGUGUAGGCAAUGAAUGUUUGCCCCAUGACAACAGAAAAGAAUGCAACGAUGGAAGCAUGGUUUCAGGAAUCCUCAAAUCCUCCUUGUUAUACCUUUUCCCCCUAUCACCACGGUGCAAUUUCAUCACUGUCCUUCUUCUAAGUAUACAGAAUGAACUAUUGUAUGUGAUUUUUUAAUGUUUUUGUUUGUUGUUUUGUUUGUUUUUUUUAAUAAAUAAAGAUUUAAUCAGUACUUAAUUUGGGCC
This is a long non-coding RNA of Coturnix japonica (Japanese quail), 1927 nucleotides long. The record is from Ensembl. Lineage: Eukaryota; Metazoa; Chordata; Aves; Galliformes; Phasianidae.